Long non-coding RNA from Anas platyrhynchos (mallard), 2242 nucleotides. RefSeq lists it as uncharacterized. Lineage: Eukaryota; Metazoa; Chordata; Aves; Anseriformes; Anatidae. The record is from RefSeq and is a predicted model, not a curated record.
UUCUACCAAGCCUCACGGAGGCUGCAGAGAAGCACAUGAGGAGGCCCUGGCUCCUCUACCCAGCCACAGAGCCAGCCUUGCUCCCAGCACAGCAGUCCUGGCCCACAGCAAGCAAUGGGAGCACCAAAUGCAAUGGUCUACUUCAAUCUCCCAGUUAUCUGCAGCAGCCUGCUCAUGAGGAAUAUAUUAUUCACAAGCUAUGGCUUAAGAACCAUUGCUUAAACUGUGAUGAGAGCUGCAGUCUCAGUUGUGGGUGGUUGCUUAGACAGUCAUCCAAGUAACAAGAAUCUCUCCAGCUCGGGAAACAAUCUAAAGGACUAUUGAAGUGACCCGACAGCAAUCCCUGCCAUCCCACAGUCCAGAGCUGUCCACAAGAAAACUCCUUUGGAUUUUGGAUCAGACUUCUGCUUUCUCCAGUCCUUUGUUUUCUUACACAGCAAGAGCACACUGUGAUCAGACAAGAUGAGAGCUUUCUCCUCAGUGUGGUAAUGCACCCCAGCCUGACCUGCAGCUCCCCCUGCCAAGCCAGGACUGGGCUUGGCAGUAGUGCAGGCUGCCAAGUGCCAUCACGCCCAAACAGUUGGGACCUGCGUGAGGUGUGCAGGGGGAGUGAAUGAAGAAAUGGAGAUGAGGGAGUAAGCUGACAUCCCCCAGGUUCAGCUGUGUAUUAUCCAUAUGCCCAUGAGAAAGCAAGGCUUACUAAUUACUCAAGAAAAGCCAAUAUCAUACAUAUUUUUUAAAUAGACAGGUCCAAGAACACUCCUUAAAAUACACUGGGAGCAAGAAUUGGGUUAAGAAAAUCAGAGUUUUCCUAAGCUGAGCUCUAGUUCCUCAAAAUAAUUUGAGUGUUUUAGUUUUUCAUGAGAGAAGGUAAAAAUAUUCCACAUUCAGAAACUGGGGAUUUCUUGACAGAUUAACUCCUCAUCUGCAAGUUUCUCCAUUCAAAAGGUAUUUGCAGAACAUGAAAAGGGAAGAUGGGAAAUUGAAAUAACUCUCAGGAAGCUUGCAAGACAAUUAUCACUCCCAUUUAAGAUUUUGGCCAAAAAGCAGAAAAAUCACUUUUUCCAAUCACCCUCAGGUAUAUUAAGAGAUUGACCUGUAAACCCAGAGAUGGACGUUCAGUUAGACUGAUGCAUAAAAUGCACUUUUGCCUUAAAACAGGGUGAGACUCUCUACCAGGUAUAAUUUAAACCUACUUCUACAAUAUAUGAAAGGUGAAGGAAGACAAGGGUGAAAACCUUAGGCUAAAUAUCUUGCUUCUGUAUCUCAAAACUCAGCCUUUCUAUUGUAUAGAGCAAGCCCGGCCUCCUUUGAGUCACCUGAAUUAUCCCAGAUGUGCAACCAUGUGACGGAAAGUCCAAAUCAUUGCCCAGAGGAGCACUUGCUGUUUCCCCUCAAGUAGGUUCCUGACUGAUAUAUUUCCCCUCUGGGCAAAGAUUAAACAGACUCAUCAGGUGUUCCCGAGAGCCCUCGGUGACAAAUGAGCCUCCAAGAGGAUGAGCAAGCUCACAUCUUCCCUUCAUCCAACAACAGAAACCUCCUUUCCAGGCAAUUGCCCUGUUGCUUUCCGGGCUCUCCUCAGAGAGGUGCCUGAAAUGACUGCAAACUAUUGCAUCAACACUGUGCCAUUCUUUCCCAUGCAUAUCUAAGUACAGCCUAUCCCCUUUGUAACGUUUUGUCAUUCCAUUGAACCAAAAAUACAAAUAAUAGGGAGAGGGAAACCAUCCAACAACCUCACUUUCAGCUUCCUGAGUCAUUUAGCCUCAACUUGAAUUUUAACUACACAGUCAGACAGCAGCACUAGCUGUUACAUCAGGGCUUUGGAAGCAAAGGGAAGGGAGGAGGUGAAGCAAGCCCAGGAGACAGCCAAGAGGAAAACAUCUUUAAAGCUCCCCUGAAUCAGUGACACUUACCUGUUUGUUCUGUUCUAUGCCUCUGGGUUUCUCUGAAAUGGAGAAGAGUAAUUAUGAAGUGACCCACUUUCCUCCUGUUUAGCGUAAAGAGGAAAUGGGGGGAAGGGGAAGAAGGGGAGGAGAGGGAGAGUUGCAGAAGGAGAAUAUCAAAGGGGAGAGAGAGGAAAAGAAACUUGCAGAAGGUAGGAGGGUAAAUUGUGAUGACCCAGUUUAAAGGAAGAGCAGGAACUAGACCUACUAACAGUCAACACCUUCCCACACACUCCAAGGAAAGGAAACAGCAAGGGAGAGGAACAAACCUAUUGCUCAUAACACUUUUUUGUGCUACA